Hydra vulgaris (swiftwater hydra) is the source of this 908-nucleotide non-coding RNA. Lineage: Eukaryota; Metazoa; Cnidaria; Hydrozoa; Anthoathecata; Hydridae. The record is from RefSeq and is a predicted model, not a curated record.
UUUUAUUGUUAAUUAAGUUUUGCGUGUUUAACUUCAUUUAAUAUGUUAUAUACAGUCCAGUCAGUUGAAUCAACAAUUAAACCAACAAGAAACAGGCAAGUAUUCAUACAAGUGGUAAAUUGAUUUUUGUGACGUUUUUACUCCUUUAAAAAUUAGAUUUUCCUAACAUAAUAAUUAAAUUAAUGAAUAUUUCUGUAAAGAUUAUUCUGUAACUAAAAAGUGUAAUUAUUUUAAAACUAAUAGUUACUUUUUUAGUAAUCACGAGAUAAAUUGCAAACUCUAUUCUUUUAGAUAUGAUUGUAACAGUUGAACAUUUGUCAGAUAUUUAACUUUUAAAUCAUAAUCUAAUUGCUCAGGCUUAUGAAAAGCUAUUUAUAAAAUGUCAACGCAUAAAAAGUAAUGAAAAAGAUUAAAGAUUGUUAUGAGGAUUGCAAAAGUUUAAAAUAACAGAAACUGAAUUGAUAAUCAGCAGAUAACAAAAAGCGCAAAAGUACUGAUUAUACAAGUCUUUUAAAGUUAAACCAUCACCACUUCCACAGCCACUUCAAGCGUUCAAUUGCAUUCUAAGAUAUCUUUAUUCAAAUCAAGUGUGACUGCUUUACCAAAAGACUGUAGAAUGGACCAAUUAAGUAAGAUGUCUAAAUUUAUAUAUGAGGUAUUCCAUGAGAAAGUGGGACAGGUAUGUAACCCACCAUCUCAGAUUUUGUUCAUACUUUGUAAAAAUGGUCAUCUAUAUAACAUAGACUUCCUUGCAAAAUUUUAGCACUGAUAUCAAAGGGGUUUUGGAGUUAUUGUUACUUUAAAAUCAGCUAUUUUUAGCAGUUUUUUCUGUUCGGCGGCCAUUUUGAUUUUACUAUAGUUUUUGUUUUACAAGUUACUGUUUAACUAAACAUGUAAUUAAGCUGAAA